This 3012-nucleotide ribosomal RNA is filed under the name Enterococcus faecium. Its description in RNAcentral is "23S ribosomal RNA". It matches the Rfam family "Bacterial large subunit ribosomal RNA". The record is from RNAcentral. Lineage: Bacteria; Bacillati; Bacillota; Bacilli; Lactobacillales; Enterococcaceae.
GGUUAAGUGAAUAAGGGCGCACGGUGGAUGCCUUGGCACUAGGAGCCGAUGAAGGACGGGACUAACACCGAUAUGCUUUGGGGAGCUGUACGUAAGCUAUGAUCCAGAGAUUUCCGAAUGGGGGAACCCAACAUCUUUAAUAGGAUGUUACGAUUGUGUGAAUACAUAGCACAUUCGAGGUAGACGCAGAGAACUGAAACAUCUAAGUACCUGCAGGAAGAGAAAGAAAAUUCGAUUCCCUGAGUAGCGGCGAGCGAAACGGGAAAAGCCCAAACCAGCAAGCUUGCUUGUUGGGGUUGUAGGACUCCAAUAUGGUAGUUCUUUCAGAUAGUCGAAUGACUUGGAAAAGUCAGUCAAAGAGGGUAAAAACCCCGUAGACGAAAUGUGGAAGACACCUAGGAGGAUCCUGAGUACGGCGGAACACGAGAAAUUCCGUCGGAAUCCGGGAGGACCAUCUCCCAAGGCUAAAUACUCCCUAGUGACCGAUAGUGAACCAGUACCGUGAGGGAAAGGUGAAAAGCACCCCGGAAGGGGAGUGAAAUAGAACCUGAAACCGUGUGCCUACAACAAGUCAAAGCCCGUUAAUGGGUGAUGGCGUGCCUUUUGUAGAAUGAACCGGCGAGUUACGAUUGCAUGCGAGGUUAAGUUGAAGAGACGGAGCCGCAGCGAAAGCGAGUCUGAAUAGGGCGUUUGAGUAUGUAGUCGUAGACCCGAAACCAUGUGAUCUACCCAUGUCCAGGUUGAAGGUGCGGUAAAACGCACUGGAGGACCGAACCCACGUACGUUGAAAAGUGCGGGGAUGAGGUGUGGGUAGCGGAGAAAUUCCAAACGAACUUGGAGAUAGCUGGUUCUCUCCGAAAUAGCUUUAGGGCUAGCCUCGGAAUUGAGAAUGAUGGAGGUAGAGCACUGUUUGGACUAGGGGCCCAUCUCGGGUUACCGAAUUCAGAUAAACUCCGAAUGCCAUUCAUUCAUAUCCGGGAGUCAGACUGUGAGUGAUAAGAUCCAUAGUCGAAAGGGAAACAGCCCAGACCACCAGCUAAGGUCCCAAAAUAUAUGUUAAGUGGAAAAGGAUGUGGGGUUGCACAGACAACUAGGAUGUUGGCUUAGAAGCAGCCAUNNNNNNNNNNNNNNNNNNNNNNNNNNNNNNNNNNNNNNNNNNNNNNNNNNNNNNNNNNNNNNNNNNNNNNNNNNNNNNNNNNNNNNNNNNNAGCCACCAUUUAAAGAGUGCGUAAUAGCUCACUAGUCGAGUGACCCUGCGCCGAAAAUGUACCGGGGCUAAACAUAUUACCGAAGCUGUGGAGUACACCUUUAGGUGUAUUGGUAGGAGAGCGUUCUAAGGGCGUUGAAGGCAGAUCGUGAGGACUGCUGGAGCGCUUAGAAGUGAGAAUGCCGGUAUGAGUAGCGAAAGACAGGUGAGAAUCCUGUCCACCGAAUGACUAAGGUUUCCUGGGGAAGGCUCGUCCGCCCAGGGUUAGUCGGGACCUAAGCCGAGGCCGACAGGCGUAGGCGAUGGAUAACAGGUUGAUAUUCCUGUACCCGUUGUUUUUGUUUGAGCAAUGGAGGGACGCAGGAGGCUAAGGAAUGCAGACGAUCGGAAAUGUCUGUCCAAGCAGUAAGUCUGAAGAGGAGUCAAAUGCUUCUUUUCUUAAGGACAAGCUGUGAUGGGGAGGGAAAUAAUAGUACCGAAGUUCCUGAUGUCACACUGCCGAGAAAAGCUUCUAGUGAGAAAACAGCGGCCCGUACCGCAAACCGACACAGGUAGUCGAGGAGAGAAUCCUAAGGUGAGCGAGAGAACUCUCGUUAAGGAACUCGGCAAAAUGACCCCGUAACUUCGGGAGAAGGGGUGCUGAUCAUACGAUCAGCCGCAGUGAAUAGGCCCAAGCGACUGUUUAUCAAAAACACAGGUCUCUGCAAAAUCGUAAGAUGAAGUAUAGGGGCUGACGCCUGCCCGGUGCUGGAAGGUUAAGAGGAGUGCUUAGCGCAAGCGAAGGUACGAAUUGAAGCCCCAGUAAACGGCGGCCGUAACUAUAACGGUCCUAAGGUAGCGAAAUUCCUUGUCGGGUAAGUUCCGACCCGCACGAAAGGCGUAACGAUUUGGGCACUGUCUCAACGAGAGACUCGGUGAAAUUUUAGUACCUGUGAAGAUGCAGGUUACCCGCGACAGGACGGAAAGACCCCAUGGAGCUUUACUGUAGUUUGAUAUUGAGUGUCUGUACCGCAUGUACAGGAUAGGUAGGAGCCGUAGAAAUCGGAACGCUAGUUUCGAUGGAGGCGCUGGUGGGAUACUACCCCUGCGUUAUGGCCACUCUAACCCGCACCACUAAUCGUGGUGGGAGACAGUGUCAGAUGGGCAGUUUGACUGGGGCGGUCGCCUCCUAAAAGGUAACGGAGGCGCCCAAAGGUUCCCUCAGAAUGGUUGGAAAUCAUUCGAAGAGUGUAAAGGCAGAAGGGAGCUUGACUGCGAGACCAACAAGUCGAGCAGGGACGAAAGUCGGGCUUAGUGAUCCGGUGGUUCCGCAUGGAAGGGCCAUCGCUCAACGGAUAAAAGCUACCCUGGGGAUAACAGGCUUAUCUCCCCCAAGAGUCCACAUCGACGGGGAGGUUUGGCACCUCGAUGUCGGCUCGUCGCAUCCUGGGGCUGUAGUCGGUCCCAAGGGUUGGGCUGUUCGCCCAUUAAAGCGGCACGCGAGCUGGGUUCAGAACGUCGUGAGACAGUUCGGUCCCUAUCCGUCGCGGGCGUUGGAAAUUUGAGAGGAGCUGUCCUUAGUACGAGAGGACCGGGAUGGACUUACCGCUGGUGUACCAGUUGUUCUGCCAAGGGCAUUGCUGGGUAGCUAUGUAGGGAAGGGAUAAACGCUGAAAGCAUCUAAGUGUGAAGCCCACCUCAAGAUGAGAUUUCCCAUUUCUUUAAGAAAGUAAGAUCCCUGAGAGAUGAUCAGGUAGAUAGGUCAGGAGUGGAAGUACAGUGAUGUAUGGAGCGGACUGAUACUAAUCGAUCGAGGACUUAACCAA